UACGUAGGCAGCGAGCGUUGUUCGGAGUUACUGGGCGUAAAGAGUGCGUAGGCGGUUUUCUAAGUUUGGUGUGAAAUCUCCCGGCUCAACUGGGAGGGUGCGCCGAAGACUGGAAGGCUUGAGUAUGGGAGAGGUAGGCGGAAUUCCUGGUGUAGCGGUGAAAUGCGUAGAUAUCAGGAGGAACACCUGCGGUGUAGACGGCUUACUGGACCAUAACUGACGCUGAGGCACGAAAGCGUGGGUAGCAAACAGG
This 253-nucleotide ribosomal RNA is filed under the name uncultured bacterium. RNAcentral describes it as "partial 16S ribosomal RNA". It matches the Rfam family "Bacterial small subunit ribosomal RNA", at positions 524 to 776 of the family's 1533-position model. The record is from RNAcentral.